This 87-nucleotide transfer RNA is filed under the name Planctomycetota bacterium. RNAcentral describes it as "Planctomycetes bacterium tRNA-Ser". It matches the Rfam family "tRNA". Rfam says of the family: Transfer RNA (tRNA) molecules are approximately 80 nucleotides in length. Their secondary structure includes four short double-helical elements and three loops (D, anti-codon, and T loops). Lineage: Bacteria; Pseudomonadati; Planctomycetota. The record is from RNAcentral.
GGAGAGGUGGCAGAGUGGUUGAAUGCGCCGGUCUCGAAAACCGGUAUGCCCUCCGGGGCAUCGGGGGUUCGAAUCCCCCCCUCUCCG